GGCAAAACUGGAAAGUAAAAGAAACAAAGAAAAAGAAGAAAGGUGAAAGCUGAACAGAAGGCAAAAAGAAGUCCAUCUCGGAAAAUCCAACCAUGCAAAAAAAAGAUCAUGAAACUUGGGGGGCAGGUAGCCCAUAGCUCCUCCAAAGUAAACCCCUCUUUUGCCAUAAUACUCCAUAGUUUUUUAAAUCAGAUUUUAGGCACAUACCCAAGCACAACUGUAUUGAGCUGUUCCCUAGAGCCCAGGCUAGUACUGAAGUAUAGUGAUAAGCCCCGAGUUAAAUUCACCUAUAGCAGACGCAAGAAGGCACUAGAGGGGAUCAACCAUAUGACAGCAGGGCCUUAGUUAUUUACAGAUUCUGUUAAGGGUUGUUAGCUAUUUUUGUUAAAGUUAGUUACGGGAAGGGCUAUAAAUAAAUGAGCUGGGGGGAAAAUGGGUAGAAU
Molecule: long non-coding RNA, 443 nt
Filed under: Olea europaea (common olive)
Lineage: Eukaryota; Viridiplantae; Streptophyta; Magnoliopsida; Lamiales; Oleaceae
Description: long non-coding RNA (OEUR_LNC010652)
Source: RNAcentral